This 1343-nucleotide ribosomal RNA is filed under the name uncultured bacterium. RNAcentral describes it as "16S ribosomal RNA". It matches the Rfam family "Bacterial small subunit ribosomal RNA", at positions 28 to 1378 of the family's 1533-position model. The record is from RNAcentral.
GACGAACGCUGGCGGCGUGCUUAACACAUGCAAGUCGAACGGAAAGGCCCUGCUUUUGUGGGGUGCUCGAGUGGCGAACGGGUGAGUAACACGUGAGUAACCUGCCCUUGACUUUGGGAUAACUUCAGGAAACUGGGGCUAAUACCGGAUAGGAGCUCCUGCUGCAUGGUGGGGGUUGGAAAGUUUCGGCGGUUGGGGAUGGACUCGCGGCUUAUCAGCUUGUUGGUGGGGUAGUGGCUUACCAAGGCUUUGACGGGUAGCCGGCCUGAGAGGGUGACCGGCCACAUUGGGACUGAGAUACGGCCCAGACUCCUACGGGAGGCAGCAGUGGGGAAUAUUGCACAAUGGGCGGAAGCCUGAUGCAGCAACGCCGCGUGCGGGAUGACGGCCUUCGGGUUGUAAACCGCUUUCGCCUGUGACGAAGCGUGAGUGACGGUAAUGGGUAAAGAAGCACCGGCUAACUACGUGCCAGCAGCCGCGGUGAUACGUAGGGUGCGAGCGUUGUCCGGAUUUAUUGGGCGUAAAGGGCUCGUAGGUGGUUGAUCGCGUCGGAAGUGUAAUCUUGGGGCUUAACCCUGAGCGUGCUUUCGAUACGGGUUGACUUGAGGAAGGUAGGGGAGAAUGGAAUUCCUGGUGGAGCGGUGGAAUGCGCAGAUAUCAGGAGGAACACCAGUGGCGAAGGCGGUUCUCUGGGCCUUUCCUGACGCUGAGGAGCGAAAGCGUGGGGAGCGAACAGGCUUAGAUACCCUGGUAGUCCACGCUGUAAACGGUGGGUACUAGGUGUGGGGUCCAUUCCACGGGUUCCGUGCCGUAGCUAACGCUUUAAGUACCCCGCCUGGGGAGUACGGCCGCAAGGCUAAAACUCAAAGGAAUUGACGGGGCCCCGCACAAGCGGCGGAGCAUGCGGAUUAAUUCGAUGCAACGCGUAGAACCUUACCUGGGUUUGACAUGGAUCGGGGGUGCUCAGAGAUGGGUGUGCCUCUUUUGGGGUCGGUUCACAGGUGGUGCAUGGCUGUCGUCAGCUCGUGUCGUGAGAUGUUGGGUUAAGUCCCGCAACGAGCGCAACCCUUGUUCACUGUUGCCAGCACGUUAUGGUGGGGACUCAGUGGAGACCGCCGGGGUCAACUCGGAGGAAGGUGGGGAUGACGUCAAGUCAUCAUGCCCCUUAUGUCCAGGGCUUCACGCAUGCUACAAUGGCUGGUACAGAGAGUGGCGAGCCUGUGAGGGUGAGCGAAUCUCGGAAAGUCGGUCUCAGUUCGGAUUGGGGUCUGCAACUCGACCUCAUGAAGUCGGAGUCGCAAGUAAUCGCAGAUCAGCAACGCUGCGGUGAAUACGUUCCCGGG